AAGGAUCAUUAAAGAUUAUGAAUGAAUAGAUUACUGGGGGAAUCGUCUGAACAAGGCCUGCGCUUAAUUGCGCGGCCAGUUCUUGAUUCUCUGCUAUCAGUUUUCUAUUUCUCAUCCUAAACACAAUGGAGUUUUUUCUCUAUGAACUACUUCCCUGGAGAGCUCGUCUCUCCAGUGGACAUAAACACAAACAAUAUUUUGUAUUAUGAAAAACUAUUAUACUAUAAAAUUUAAUAUUCAAAACUUUCAACAACGGAUCUCUUGGUUCUCGCAUCGAUGAAGAACGCAGCGAAUUGCGAUAUGUAUUGUGAAUUGCAGAUUUUCGUGAAUCAUCAAAUCUUUGAACGCACAUUGCGCCCUCUGGUAUUCCAGGGGGCAUGCCUGUUUGAGCGUCAUUUCUCUCUCAAACCUUUGGGUUUGGUAGUGAGUGAUACUCGUCUCGGGUUAACUUGAAAGUGGCUAGCCGUUGCCAUCUGCGUGAGCAGGGCUGCGUGUCAAGUCUAUGGACUCGACUCUUGCACAUCUACGUCUUAGGUUUGCGCCAAUUCGUGGUAAGCUUGGGUCAUAGAGACUCAUAGGUGUUAUAAAGACUCGCUGGUGUUUGUCUCCUUGAGGCAUACGGCUUUAACCAAAACUCUCAAAGUUUGACCUCAAAUCAGGUAGGAGUACCCGCUGAACUUAAGCA
This 685-nucleotide ribosomal RNA is filed under the name Kluyveromyces marxianus. RNAcentral's name for it is "eukaryotic LSU rRNA". The stretch from base 242 to 395 matches the Rfam family "5.8S ribosomal RNA". Lineage: Eukaryota; Fungi; Ascomycota; Saccharomycetes; Saccharomycetales; Saccharomycetaceae. The record is from RNAcentral.